Molecule: small nuclear RNA, 101 nt
Filed under: Amborella trichopoda
Lineage: Eukaryota; Viridiplantae; Streptophyta; Magnoliopsida; Amborellales; Amborellaceae
Source: RNAcentral
AUCUCUCGAGACAUCCAAUAAAAUUGGAACAGUACCGAGAAGAUUAGCAUGGCCCCUAUUCAAGGAUGACAUGCAUGAUGUAAGAAAUGUGCCCUUUUUUG